This 253-nucleotide ribosomal RNA is filed under the name uncultured bacterium. Its description in RNAcentral is "partial 16S ribosomal RNA". It matches the Rfam family "Bacterial small subunit ribosomal RNA", at positions 524 to 776 of the family's 1533-position model. The record is from RNAcentral.
UACAGAGGGGGCAAGCGUUGUUCGGAAUUACUGGGCGUAAAGGGCGCGUAGGCGGCCGCCUAAGUCAGACGUGAAAUCCCUCGGCUCAACCGGGGAACUGCGUCUGAUACUGGGUGGCUUGAAUCCGGGAGAGGGAUGCGGAAUUCCAGGUGUAGCGGUGAAAUGCGUAGAUAUCUGGAGGAACACCGGUGGCGAAGGCGGCUACCUGGACCGAUAUUGACGCUGAGACGCGAAAGCGUGGGGAGCAAACAGG